RNAcentral lists this ribosomal RNA (432 nucleotides) under uncultured bacterium. RNAcentral's name for it is "partial 16S ribosomal RNA". It matches the Rfam family "Bacterial small subunit ribosomal RNA", at positions 29 to 507 of the family's 1533-position model. The record is from RNAcentral.
AACGAACGCUGGCGGCAUGCCUAACACAUGCAAGUCGAACGAGACCUUCGGGUCUAGUGGCGCACGGGUGCGUAACGCGUGGGAACCUGCCCUUAGGUUCGGAAUAACUCCCCGAAAGGGGUGCUAAUACCGGAUAAUGUCUUCGGACCAAAGAUUUAUCGCCUUUGGAUGGGCCCGCGUUGGAUUAGCUAGUUGGUAGGGUAAAAGCCUACCAAGGCGACGAUCCAUAGCUGGUCUGAGAGGAUGAUCAGCCACACUGGGACUGAGACACGGCCCAGACUCCUACGGGAGGCGGCAGGGGGGAAUAUUGAACAAUGGGCGAAGCCUGAUCCAGCAAUGCCGCGUGAGUGAUGAAGGCCUUAGGGUUGUAAAGCUCUUUUACCCGGGAUGAUAAUGACAGUACCGGGAGAAUAAGCUCCGGCUAACUCCGUG